Molecule: long non-coding RNA, 608 nt
Organism: Alligator mississippiensis (American alligator)
Lineage: Eukaryota; Metazoa; Chordata; Crocodylia; Alligatoridae
Exons: 4
Source: RefSeq, a predicted model, not a curated record
GAAGCUACACAAGGCAGUAGGGGACUGAAGAAAAGACCCAUUUAGUUCCAGGUUCCUAAAGCUCGCUGCUAUUCCACUCCUGGCUGGCUGUGUCUGGGAUCCAGGGCUCUGUCCCAGGGGGCUGGUCAGCAAACUGGCAUUGGCACGCUGCCAUAAAGUGGGUCCAUGUCAGUGCAAGUGCCUUCAUUGGCUCUCCUGCAGCCUGCUGCAGCUUCUCUCCUUUUGGUCCUGGUGCAGCAUGUUCUUUUGCAGCAGCCCUUCUCUUGCCACGCUUUCAGUCCCCGGCGGUAUCCCACCAGCUCCACACUUCUCUUGGCUCCCAUCUCUCAGGUAAAAAGAAAAUAGGACAAUGGCUCAAGCUACAAAUAUCAGCUGAGAGAAGCAGCCAUUAUUUGUAAAAAUGUUUUGGCUGUGCGCCCAGCCAAACCAGAAAUAUGAACAAAAGAUAAGAGGAUACACUGGUGAAGAAAGCCAUCCAAUUAAGAUGAAUUGUCUAGAGUUUAACAUGACUUAAUCAUUUAAAUAACUUCAGUUCCUCUACACCACCCACACUCAUUUCUUUGUGUAUUACAUAUUCUGUCAUACAUUUCUCCUUCAAAUAAUAAAAA